UUUUAUCAUUUAUUAAACAUUUUUCAUGUAUAAAUUUAUAUUACAUCGGUAAAUAUUAAUAACACGUCAAUCUGUUUUCAUUAUUUCACCAACAUAACAGUCAUGGAAUUAAUGGAAAUCUAUAGAUUUGGAUGCCAAUUUAAUUUAUGAGUUACGCCAAAACUGUAAAACAUGAUCACUAGAGAAUGAACAAAGACUGACACGUAUCAAGGGAAGUCAUAACUCCUCUUCCUGGUAAAUGCCUUAUCGAAGACGCAGUCAACAAAUAAUGAAAAUUUUGCGAAAAUAAACAUUGACAACCAUAUUCAUUUCUAAGGGAAAUCUCAAGGAAACAUUAGCCUUUCAAAAAUCUUUAUAGUGAUUUUUGAUAGAGUAGAAAUCUAUAAUUAUUCUUACCACAUGACAUACAUUAUAAUAAAUGAUUCAAAAAUUCCCAUACAUCAGUAUGACAUUUUUAAUAUACAGAGUGAUCAAAAUCUGGUAAGAUACUAGUUUUCUCAGAAACUAUUGAGAAUUUUAAUUUUU
Long non-coding RNA from Daktulosphaira vitifoliae (grape phylloxera), 525 nucleotides. RefSeq lists it as uncharacterized. The record is from RefSeq and is a predicted model, not a curated record. The transcript has 3 exons. Lineage: Eukaryota; Metazoa; Arthropoda; Insecta; Hemiptera; Phylloxeridae.